UACGGAGGGUGCGAGCGUUANUCGGAAUUACUGGGCGUAAAGCGCACGCAGGCGGUUUGUUAAGCUAGAUGUGAAAGCCCCGGGCUCAACCUGGGAUGGUCAUUUAGAACUGGCAGACUAGAGUCUUGGAGAGGGGAGUGGAAUUCCAGGUGUAGCGGUGAAAUGCGUAGAUAUCUGGAGGAACAUCAGUGGCGAAGGCGACUCCCUGGCCAAAGACUGACGCUCAUGUGCGAAAGUGUGGGUAGCGAACAGG
This 253-nucleotide ribosomal RNA is filed under the name uncultured bacterium. Its description in RNAcentral is "partial 16S ribosomal RNA". It matches the Rfam family "Bacterial small subunit ribosomal RNA", at positions 524 to 776 of the family's 1533-position model. The record is from RNAcentral.